GACGAACGCUGGCGGCGUGCUUAACACAUGCCAGUCGAACGGAAAGGCCCUGCUUUUGUGGGGUGCUCGAGUGGCGAACGGGUGAGUAACACGUGAGUAACUUGCCCUUGACUUUGGGAUAACUUCAGGAAACUGGGGCUAAUACCGGAUAGGAGCUCCUGCUGCAUGGUGGGGGUUGGAAAGUUUCGGCGGUUGGGGAUGGACUCGCGGCUUAUCAGCUUGUUGGUGGGGUAGUGGCUUACCAAGGCUUUGACGGGUAGCCGGCCUGAGAGGGUGACCGGCCACAUUGGGACUGAGAUACGGCCCAGACUCCUACGGGAGGCAGCAGUGGGGAAUAUUGCACAAUGGGCGGAAGCCUGAUGCAGCAACGCCGCGUGCGGGAUGACGGCCUUCGGGUUGUAAACCGCUUUCGCCUGUGACGAAGCGUGAGUGACGGUAAUGGGUAAAGAAGCACCGGCUAACUACGUG
Molecule: ribosomal RNA, 468 nt
Filed under: uncultured bacterium
Lineage: Bacteria
Description: partial 16S ribosomal RNA
Rfam family: Bacterial small subunit ribosomal RNA
Source: RNAcentral